Molecule: ribosomal RNA, 302 nt
Filed under: uncultured bacterium
Lineage: Bacteria
Description: bacterial SSU rRNA
Rfam family: Bacterial small subunit ribosomal RNA
Source: RNAcentral
GAUGAACGCUGGCGGCGUGCUUAACACAUGCAAGUCGAACGUGAAGGUUAGCUUCGGCUAACUGGAAAGUGGCGGACGGGUGAGUAACACGUGGGUACCUGCCUUGAAGUGGGGGAUAACCAUUGGAAACGAUGGCUAAUACCGCAUAGUCUCUGGCCCUUUGGGGUUAGAGUAAAACUGAGGUGCUUCAAGAGGGGCUUGCGUUCGAUUAGCUAGUUGGUGAGGUAAUGGCUUACCAAGGCGAUGAUCGAUAGCUGGUCUGAGAGGAUGAUCAGCCACACGGGAACUGAGACACGGUCCCG